RNAcentral lists this ribosomal RNA (253 nucleotides) under uncultured bacterium. RNAcentral describes it as "partial 16S ribosomal RNA". It matches the Rfam family "Bacterial small subunit ribosomal RNA", at positions 524 to 776 of the family's 1533-position model. The record is from RNAcentral.
GACGAGGGGUCCAAGCGUUGUUCGGAAUUAUUGGGCGUAAAGCGGGUGUAGGUGGCUCUAUAAGUCAGGAGUGAAAUCCCCAAGCUUAACUUGGGAAGUGCUUUUGAUACUGCAGAGCUUGAAUGUGGGAGAGGUUAAUAGAAUUCCAGGUGUAGUGGUGAAAUACGUAGAUAUCUGGAGGAACACCGGUGGCGAAGGCGGCAUCCUGGACCAAUUCUGACGCUGAGGAGCGAAAGCCAGGGGAGCAAACGGG